This 377-nucleotide long non-coding RNA is filed under the name Anthonomus grandis grandis. Its description in RNAcentral is "uncharacterized LOC126749210". Lineage: Eukaryota; Metazoa; Arthropoda; Insecta; Coleoptera; Curculionidae. The record is from RNAcentral.
UAUUCGACACUUUUUCUAAUAUUACAGUAUUAAUAUUAAUAUUUAGAUUAUUGCUGACUGACUUAUUUUUUUGUUUGAAUAUCAUGUAUUUGGUUUUCUCAAUGUUAAUUUUUAAUUUAUUUGAAAACAGCCAUUUAAGAUAACAUUUUAGGUCAUUAUUAAUAAGUUGUGUUAAAGAAGUUUCAUCUGUUCCAGCAUAUACCAGUACAGUGUCAUCUGCAAAGGUCUAUGAAGACAGCUAUAACUAUUUGUUGUUUAUCUAAUGCCAUUGAAAUACAGUCUACAAAAUCCACAACCGCACCAAGUGUACUACUGUUCUUUAUAAAGCCAUAUUGAUAUUUAUCAUUCAAUAGAUUGCAAGAGUUAAUGAAAGAUAA